AGGGCUGGGUUGUUCUUUGUUGUAGCUGUUGUUGCUGUUCAUGUCUUCAUUAUAUAUUAAUCCAUUUACUCAUUCAACAGACAAGUUCUGAGGACCAACUACGGUCCAGUGCCUGGCCCUGGUGAAGCACUGAGAAUGCACAAAGAGUUUCAGACACUGCCCUCAGAUUGCCUGCUGUGUUGUAAGGGAGACACACAAGUAAACCAACAAUUGAAAUGUAAAAAUAUACAGGGUUAAGGCUGUGGGAACCUUGAGGAGCCUUGACGUCACUCUGGCCUUGAAUUCAAGUCAAGCCAGUUUCUCAGCAAAGACAUCUUCUGAACUGAGUCUUGAAGCAUUAACCAGGGUUUUCUCAGGAGAGAAAAGGAUGUUCCAGGCUUGAUGAACAACAGCCCUGCAUGCUGUGGGGAGGUUGGGUGGGUGGUGGCGGUCAGAUUUGCUCCAGGUCGUGUCAAAGUUUUAGCAGGAUAGGAGGCAGAUGGAAUUAGCAAGAGGGGCUGGACCUACCAGCCACUGCCUUCCGCUCUGCUUCCUCUGAGGAACAUGACUCCCUCACCUCACAGGGCAGGGCAACUGCCCCCUGCUGCCUGGAUAUGCCUGUGGUAGCAAAGAGAAGAGGAGGAAAGGUGGGAGAGAUGACUACAGCACAGAAGCACAGGCUGAAGCACUGAACCAAAAGCGAGAGGGUAAAAUUGGGAUUAAAAUUGAGAAGUGGCAGAUUUUGGGGGAAAAAAUGUCUGUGAAGUUCAAGAGCAAAAUCCUCCUUUUCCUCUGAGUCUCGGGAAGGUUUUCCCUAAGUAUCUACUUAGACGAGAAAAUCGAUGCUGCAGUUCUAGUGUUAGGGACCUCAGCCCCCUUGUGUGUUUUCUUCCCGAUGGUUUACUAUUUCCAGUUUGCAAAACACUGUCACGUAUAGCGUCUCUUUCAAAUCUCACAACAAGCCACGAUUUUAUGCCAUGACGACAACGAGCCUGCUUCGUUUCACAGGUGAAGAAAGACUUGGAAAGCCAACUGCUCUGACUGGAGGCGGACAGAGAUCACCCUGAUUUAGAGCUUCCUAUAGAAAUAUCCCUCAGCUGGUACCAAACGGAGCGUGGAGGCCGGAGGCCUCUACAGGCAACGUCCUUGGAAUCAGAACAAGGAAGGCUGGAGGAAAGCAGAUAAGGAAACUGAGGCCCAGAGAGGCUGUGACUUCUCCAGUGUCAUAGAGCAGGUGUGCUGCAGCAACAGGAUU
This 1234-nucleotide long non-coding RNA is filed under the name Equus caballus (horse). RNAcentral describes it as "lncRNA (ENSECAG00000049129.1)". The record is from RNAcentral. Lineage: Eukaryota; Metazoa; Chordata; Mammalia; Perissodactyla; Equidae.